AUUGAACGCUGGCGGCAGGCCUAACACAUGCAAGUCGAACGGUAACAGGAAGCAGCUUGCUGCUUUGCUGACGAGUGGCGGACGGGUGAGUAAUGUCUGGGAAACUGCCCGAUGUAGGGGGAUAACUACUGGAAACGGUAGCUAAUACCGCAUAACGUCGCAAGACCAGAGAGGGGGAGCUUAUGGCCUCUUGCCAUCGUGUAUGCCCAGAUGGGAUUAGCUAGUAGGUGGGGUAACGGCUCACCUAGGCGACGAUCCCUAGCUGGUCUGAGAGGAUGAGCAGCCACACUGGAACUGAGACACGGUCCAGACUCCUACGGGAGGCAGCAGUGGGGAAUAUUGCACAAUGGGCGCAAGCCUGAUGCAGCCAUGCCGCGUGUAUGAAGAAGGCCUUCGGGUUGUAAAGUCCUUUUAGCGGGGAGGAAGGGAGUAAGGUUAAUACCUUGGCUCAUUGACGGUACCCGCAGAAGAAGCACCGGCUAACUCCGUG
This 490-nucleotide ribosomal RNA is filed under the name uncultured bacterium. Its description in RNAcentral is "partial 16S ribosomal RNA". It matches the Rfam family "Bacterial small subunit ribosomal RNA", at positions 30 to 507 of the family's 1533-position model. The record is from RNAcentral.